GACGCAGCCAUGCCGCGUGAAUGAUGAAGGUCUUAGGAUUGUAAAAUUCUUUCACCGGGGAAGAUAAUGACGGUACCCGGCGAAUAAGCCACGGCUAACUACGUGCCAGCAGCCGCGGUAAUACGUAGGUGGCAAGCGUUGUCCGGAUUUAUUGGGCGUAAAGAGCGCGCAGGCGGUGCGCCAAGUCCGAGGUGAAAUCUCCCGGCUCAACUGGGAGGGGUCUUCGGAUACUGGCGGACUUGAGGAGAGCAGAGGUGAGUGGAAUUCUCGGUGUAGUGGUGAAAUGCGUAGAUAUCGAGAGGAACACCAGCGGCGAAGGCGGCUCUCUGGACCGAUACUGACGCUGAGGCGCGAAAGCGUGGGGAGCAAACAGGAUUAGAUACCCUGGUAGUCCACGCUGUAAACGAUGUGUGCUAGACGUUGGGGAGCCUAGCUCUUCGGUGUCGCAGCUAACGCGGUAAGCACACCGCCUGGGGAGUACGGCCGCAAGGUUAAAACUUAAAGGAAUUGACG
RNAcentral lists this ribosomal RNA (513 nucleotides) under uncultured Alphaproteobacteria bacterium. Its description in RNAcentral is "bacterial SSU rRNA". It matches the Rfam family "Bacterial small subunit ribosomal RNA", at positions 385 to 915 of the family's 1533-position model. Lineage: Bacteria; Pseudomonadati; Pseudomonadota; Alphaproteobacteria. The record is from RNAcentral.